GAACAUCGGCCUCUUUAAUUCUAAGCUGAUGAUAUCCCGAGCGCAAAUCGAUCUUAGAAAACACCUUUGCUCCCUGAAGUUGAUCAAACAAGUCAUCGAUGCGCGGAAGUGGAUAUUUAUUACGCACUGUAACUUUAUUCAACUGCCUAUAGUCAAUGCAGAGUCUAAGAGUACCAUCCUUUUUCUUAACAAACAACACCGGAGCUCCCCACGGAGAUACACUAGGUCUAAUAAACUCUUUAUCCACCAAUUCUUGCAGUUGAAUCUUAAGUUCCUUUAAUUCAGCUGGAGCCAUCCUAUAUGGUGCUAUAGAUAUAGGAGCCGUCCCAGGGACUAAAUCAAUAGAGAACUCAAUCUCUCUAUGAGGUGGCAUCCCUGGAAGUUCAUCUGGAAAUACAUCUGAAAACUCUUGGACUACUGGAAUAUCCUCCAAUCUCAACUCCCGAACUCCAGUGGCUAUUACGUAUGCCAGAUAAGCUGAGCAACCUUUCCUUAGUAAGCGUCUUGCAUCAAUGGCCGAUAUGACACAUGAGGGUAAAAUUCUACGCUCACCACAAAAUUUCACCUCAGUUUCUCUUGGUUUGUUGAACACAACUUCCUUUUUAAAACAAUCCACUGUAGCAUGGUGAGACGCAAGCCAAUCCAUGCCCAAAAUGGCAUCAAAAUCUUGAAUGUCUAGAAUAAUCAAAUUCGCCUUAAAUUCAUGCUCGCCCAAUCGAAUCAUGCUAUCUUGAUACACCUUUUCAGCAAGUAAUGACCCUCCGGUAGGUGUACUAACAACUAAACCAUAAUCCAGCAAUUCAGGCUCUCUCUCUAGAUGCAUACUAAAUGUGCGAGAAACAAAAGAAUGCGUGGAUCCAGGAUCAAUAAGAAUAUGAGCAUCAUGACCAAAGAUAGAUAAUGUACCCAUAAUAACUUCUGGUGUAGCAUGAGCCUCCUGCUGUGUCAAGGCAAAAACUCGAGCCUGAGUACGAGGUCGACCAGGUUGACCUCUCUGACUUGGAAAAGUGGUCUGACUCCUCGAUAUAGAACCCCCUGUCUGCAUACCCCUCUGACCCGGAACUGGUCCAACAUGAGAUUGAUACUGUGGGGCUGCCCCUCGAGCAGAAUUGUCACCCUGAGAUAAAGUAGGGCAUAAUCUCUUAAUAUGUCCAGGUUGUCCACAUAAAUAACACACAUUGUCUCCGAUACGGCACUGGCCCUGAUGGUUCCUACCACACGUAGGGCAAGGAGUCUGUUGUAUACUCCUACGGGGUCCUUCGCUAUUCCUGUCAUACUGCCCCUGAGUCCUAACAUUACUCCCCACUGAAGGCUGCGCCGAACCUGGUUUAUUGAACACAACUUCCUUUUUAAAACAAUCCACUGUAGCAUGGUGAGACACAAGCCAAUCCAUGCCCAAAAUGGCAUCAAAAUCUUGAAUGUCUAGAAUAAUCAAAUUCGCCUUAAAUUCAUGCUCGCCCAAUCGAAUCAUGCUAUCUUGAUACACCUUUUCAGCAAGUAAUGACCCUCCGGUAGGUGUACUAACAACUAAACCAUAAUCCAGCAAUUCAGGCUCUCUCUCUAGAUGCAUACUAAAUGUGCGAGAAACAAAAGAAUGCGUGGAUCCAGGAUCAAUAAGAAUAUGAGCAUCAUGACCAAAGAUAGAUAAUGUACCCAUAAUAACUUCUGGUGUAGCAUGAGCCUCCUGCUGUGUCAAGGCAAAAACUCGAGCCUGAGUACGAGGUCGACCAGGUUGACCUCUCUGACUUGGAAAAGUGGUCCAGGUUGUCCACAUAAAUAACACACAUUGUCUCCGAUACGGCAUUGGCCCUGAUGGUUCCUACCACACGUAGGGCAAGGAGUCUGUUGUAUACUCCUACGGGGUCCUCCGCUAUUCCUGUCAUACUGCCCCUGAGUCCUAACAUUACUCCCCACUGAAGGCUGCGCCGAACUGUAACUAGCGGAUUGUCUCUGAUCUCCCCUGCUACUCAUACUCUGAUUCCU
Molecule: long non-coding RNA, 1983 nt
Filed under: Citrus sinensis (sweet orange)
Lineage: Eukaryota; Viridiplantae; Streptophyta; Magnoliopsida; Sapindales; Rutaceae
Description: long non-coding RNA (CSIN_LNC000869)
Source: RNAcentral